GAAAUAAACCCUAAUUGAGAGUAUUUCUCUUUUUCACAGAGUCAAGGUCUUAGAAGUCAAGGAAAGACUGAAGACUGCUCCAGGUUGAGGACGAGCAUGAAGUCUCACAAUCCAGGUCCUGGGCGCAGACUUCACCUUCUGAACCUUCUCCUAUUCGGAAAGUGUGUGGCCCACACGGUGGUACGAGGAGCCCUGGGCUGGGCAGCUGCCAGCCUGGAUCCGAGUCCUGCCCUGGUCAAAGUGCUGAUUACUUGACAUACUUCUGUAUCUGCAGAACCAGGUGACUGAUCCCCAAAGCCCAGCCAGCUCCAGCAAGCUCUGGCACCUGCACCCAUGGGUCACCCUGUCCCCGGCCCACCCUCCUCGAACCAUGUUCCGCUCACCGUGGCAGGGCCGCCCCCGGAGCAGUCGGUGCCGUGUGCAGAGGACGGAGGCAGAGGUGCCGUGUGCAGAGGACGGAGGCAGAGGUGCCGUGUGCAGAGGCCCAGACAGAGAUGUGGAGGGGUAGCCAGUAUCAAGGGCACCCCCGCUUGCGCUCGCUUCCCCACCCGCCUGCUUUUGCCGCUAAUGUCCAGACAUUCUUUUGUUAGACCCAAAGCCCCUGGGGUUCAGUUCCUGCUGUUGUUGCAGCCCAAGGGCUCCAUCAAGAGCUGGCGGCAGCAUCCACCUCCUGGGGGUCUCGAGGGGCUCCAUAAGAACCCCUUGUCCUGAGCCCCCGCCCAGGCUGAGCAUUGGCAGCUGUUCAGUCCAGGCUGGCUUUAGUUGCUGUUAAUAUUCAAUAUUUGACAUAAACUCUAUUUUGAUUGUGAAA
Molecule: non-coding RNA, 811 nt
Organism: Macaca mulatta (Rhesus monkey)
Lineage: Eukaryota; Metazoa; Chordata; Mammalia; Primates; Cercopithecidae
Source: RefSeq, a predicted model, not a curated record